This 32-nucleotide ribosomal RNA is filed under the name Grammatophyllum speciosum. RNAcentral describes it as "partial 18S ribosomal RNA". The record is from RNAcentral. Lineage: Eukaryota; Viridiplantae; Streptophyta; Magnoliopsida; Asparagales; Orchidaceae.
AGUUANGUAGGUGAACUGCUUGCGGAGCAUUG